GCUUCUGUAAAGCUGCUCUUCCCUUAAAGAUAAAAAAAAAAAAAAAAUAGAAAAGGAAACAAAAAGAAAAAGAAAAAAGGGCAUAAAACUAUCUUCCAGCCUUUGAAUGUAAACAAAACUCUGACCUGGAUCUGUAGGGUGGGCCAUUUCAGUGAAGAAAGGCUGCCAGAGGCAGACAAAACCAGAAGUGUGAGGAACUAAAUGGAAGCAGAAAGCUGGCCAACUUCUCUCCAUCCCAUCUGGCAGGUCUCUGGUUCUCACACCGAGCUCUGGAAGCCAUUGGGCCGUUCCCAGCCUGCUGGGACAUUCUUCCUGGCAGAAACUGGGAAGCCCUAGAACCGGAAGACCUAAAUCAGCCUAAAAGAC
RNAcentral lists this long non-coding RNA (366 nucleotides) under Vulpes vulpes (red fox). RNAcentral describes it as "lncRNA (ENSVVUG00000025815.1)". Lineage: Eukaryota; Metazoa; Chordata; Mammalia; Carnivora; Canidae. The record is from RNAcentral.